This 274-nucleotide ribosomal RNA is filed under the name uncultured bacterium. Its description in RNAcentral is "partial 16S ribosomal RNA". It matches the Rfam family "Bacterial small subunit ribosomal RNA", at positions 523 to 796 of the family's 1533-position model. The record is from RNAcentral.
AUACGGAGGGUGCAAGCGUUGUUCGGGAUCACUGGGCGUAAAGGGCGCGCAGGCGGUUUGGUAAGUCAGAUGUGAAAGCCCAUGGCUCAACCAUGGAAGUGCAUUUGAAACUGUCAGACUUGAGUACUAGAGGGGAAAGUGGAAUUCCCGGUGUAGAGGUGAAAUUCGUAGAUAUCGGGAGGAAUACCGGUGGCGAAGGCGACUUUCUGGCUAGAUACUGACGCUGAGGCGCGAAAGCGUGGGGAGCAAACAGGAUUAGAAACCCCGGUAGUCC